GACGAACGCUGGCGGCGUGCUUAACACAUGCAAGUCGAACGGAAAGGCCCUGCUUGCAGGGUACACGAGUGGCGAACGGGUGAGUAACACGUGGGUGAUCUGCCCUGCACUUCGGGAUAAGCCUGGGAAACUGGGUCUAAUACCGGAUAGGAGCCAUUUUUAGUGUGAUGGUUGGAAAGUUUUUUCGGUGUAGGAUGAGCUCGCGGCCUAUCAGCUUGUUGGUGGGGUAAUGGCCUACCAAGGCGGCGACGGGUAGCCGGCCUGAGAGGGUGGACGGCCACAUUGGGACUGAGAUACGGCCCAGACUCCUACGGGAGGCAGCAGGGGGGAAUAUUGCACAAUGGGCGCAAGCCUGAUGCAGCGACGCCGCGUGGGGGAUGACGGCCUUCGGGUUGUAAACUCCUUUCGCUAGGGACGAAGCUUUUUGUGACGGUACCUAGAUAAGAAGCACCGGCUAACUACGUG
RNAcentral lists this ribosomal RNA (465 nucleotides) under uncultured bacterium. RNAcentral describes it as "partial 16S ribosomal RNA". It matches the Rfam family "Bacterial small subunit ribosomal RNA", at positions 28 to 507 of the family's 1533-position model. The record is from RNAcentral.